This 282-nucleotide unclassified non-coding RNA is filed under the name fungal sp. RNAcentral describes it as "partial internal transcribed spacer region". The stretch from base 1 to 46 matches the Rfam family "Eukaryotic small subunit ribosomal RNA", at positions 1786 to 1831 of the family's 1831-position model. The record is from RNAcentral. Lineage: Eukaryota; Fungi.
AAGUCGUAACAAGGUUUCCGUAGGUGAACCUGCGGAAGGAUCAUUAAUAAUCUUUGAUCCAUAUAAUGGAUCGGAUCAAAAUCCAUCUUGUGUGCACUGAUUGAAACCAAUAUGCUUUUGGCAGUGCAGCGUCUGGAUUUUUUUUUUUCUCGACCUGCCUGCCAAAAGUUUUUUUCAGUCUAACCAAUCCGCAAUUCCUUCCAACCUUUUUUUUUGGCCUGAAAAUUCGUUUAUAUAUUAAAUAAAAAAAAACAACCUUCAACAACGGAUCUCUUGGCUCUC